GUCUACUCCUGAUAGUAGUGGUAUCCUGUUAUUGCGAAACUGAUUAUCUUUGUUAGAUUGCAUCGUUCCUCGCAAUGACAGAUAAAACGAAUAGCAGGAAAAUGA
This 105-nucleotide small RNA is filed under the name Flavobacterium sp. 9AF. Its description in RNAcentral is "Flavo-1 RNA". It matches the Rfam family "Flavo-1 RNA". The record is from Rfam by way of RNAcentral. Lineage: Bacteria; Pseudomonadati; Bacteroidota; Flavobacteriia; Flavobacteriales; Flavobacteriaceae.